This 27-nucleotide small RNA is filed under the name Bombyx mori (domestic silkworm). RNAcentral describes it as "ovarian small RNA-7307". The record is from RNAcentral. Lineage: Eukaryota; Metazoa; Arthropoda; Insecta; Lepidoptera; Bombycidae.
UCCCUAGGUGGGCAUUGAAGCUCCUGA